Molecule: unclassified non-coding RNA, 298 nt
Filed under: Hevea brasiliensis (rubber tree)
Lineage: Eukaryota; Viridiplantae; Streptophyta; Magnoliopsida; Malpighiales; Euphorbiaceae
Source: RNAcentral
GCUUUUUCUCUGAAUUGUCUCUUUUUGUCAAAGUUUAAAUCCCACUGCCCUUCUGAAAUCUGUUAACUCUUGAUCUGAAGAUUGAAGAAUCAACCUCUCCCUUAUUAUUUAGCUGAACUCUUCCUUUCAUCCUUGGAAAAAAAAAAAAAAGCUCUUCCUUUCUUCGUGUUAUAGCCAUGUCAGGCAUAGAGGCGGCAGCAGCUAUUGGCCCCGUCUGUGACGCUAUCAAAGGCGUCUCCUCUUUUUGUUGCGCUCGCGCAGAUUACUUUGAUGAUUUGGAAACCCAUCUCAUCGUCGC